GCGAAACCCUGACGGAGCAANACCGCGUGAGGGAUGACGGCCUAUGGGUUGUAANCCUCUUUUUUCAGGGAGGAAUCAAUGACGUGUACCUGAAGAAUAAGCAUCGGCUAACUCCGUGCCAGCAGCCGCGGUAAGACGGAGGAUGCAAGUGUUAUCCGGAAUCACUGGGCGUAAAGCGUCUGUAGGUGGUUUAAUAAGUCAACUGUUAAAUCUUGAGGCUCAACCUCAAAAUCGCAGUCGAAACUAUUAGACUAGAGUAUAGUAGGGGUAAAGGGAAUUUCCAGUGGAGCGGUGAAAUGCGUAGAUAUUGGAAGGAACACCGAUGGC
RNAcentral lists this ribosomal RNA (327 nucleotides) under unidentified diatom plastid. Its description in RNAcentral is "bacterial SSU rRNA". It matches the Rfam family "Bacterial small subunit ribosomal RNA", at positions 375 to 716 of the family's 1533-position model. Lineage: Eukaryota; Bacillariophyta. The record is from RNAcentral.